RNAcentral lists this ribosomal RNA (1538 nucleotides) under Staphylococcus aureus subsp. aureus CIGC345D. RNAcentral describes it as "16S ribosomal RNA". It matches the Rfam family "Bacterial small subunit ribosomal RNA". Lineage: Bacteria; Bacillati; Bacillota; Bacilli; Caryophanales; Staphylococcaceae. The record is from RNAcentral.
GAGUUUGAUCCUGGCUCAGGAUGAACGCUGGCGGCGUGCCUAAUACAUGCAAGUCGAGCGAACGGACGAGAAGCUUGCUUCUCUGAUGUUAGCGGCGGACGGGUGAGUAACACGUGGAUAACCUACCUAUAAGACUGGGAUAACUUCGGGAAACCGGAGCUAAUACCGGAUAAUAUUUUGAACCGCAUGGUUCAAAAGUGAAAGACGGUCUUGCUGUCACUUAUAGAUGGAUCCGCGCUGCAUUAGCUAGUUGGUAAGGUAACGGCUUACCAAGGCAACGAUGCAUAGCCGACCUGAGAGGGUGAUCGGCCACACUGGAACUGAGACACGGUCCAGACUCCUACGGGAGGCAGCAGUAGGGAAUCUUCCGCAAUGGGCGAAAGCCUGACGGAGCAACGCCGCGUGAGUGAUGAAGGUCUUCGGAUCGUAAAACUCUGUUAUUAGGGAAGAACAUAUGUGUAAGUAACUGUGCACAUCUUGACGGUACCUAAUCAGAAAGCCACGGCUAACUACGUGCCAGCAGCCGCGGUAAUACGUAGGUGGCAAGCGUUAUCCGGAAUUAUUGGGCGUAAAGCGCGCGUAGGCGGUUUUUUAAGUCUGAUGUGAAAGCCCACGGCUCAACCGUGGAGGGUCAUUGGAAACUGGAAAACUUGAGUGCAGAAGAGGAAAGUGGAAUUCCAUGUGUAGCGGUGAAAUGCGCAGAGAUAUGGAGGAACACCAGUGGCGAAGGCGACUUUCUGGUCUGUAACUGACGCUGAUGUGCGAAAGCGUGGGGAUCAAACAGGAUUAGAUACCCUGGUAGUCCACGCCGUAAACGAUGAGUGCUAAGUGUUAGGGGGUUUCCGCCCCUUAGUGCUGCAGCUAACGCAUUAAGCACUCCGCCUGGGGAGUACGACCGCAAGGUUGAAACUCAAAGGAAUUGACGGGGACCCGCACAAGCGGUGGAGCAUGUGGUUUAAUUCGAAGCAACGCGAAGAACCUUACCAAAUCUUGACAUCCUUUGACAACUCUAGAGAUAGAGCCUUCCCCUUCGGGGGACAAAGUGACAGGUGGUGCAUGGUUGUCGUCAGCUCGUGUCGUGAGAUGUUGGGUUAAGUCCCGCAACGAGCGCAACCCUUAAGCUUAAUUGCCAUCAUUAAGUUGGGCACUCUAAGUUGACUGCCGGUGACAAACCGGAGGAAGGUGGGGAUGACGUCAAAUCAUCAUGCCCCUUAUGAUUUGGGCUACACACGUGCUACAAUGGACAAUACAAAGGGCAGCGAAACCGCGAGGUCAAGCAAAUCCCAUAAAGUUGUUCUCAGUUCGGAUUGUAGUCUGCAACUCGACUACAUGAAGCUGGAAUCGCUAGUAAUCGUAGAUCAGCAUGCUACGGUGAAUACGUUCCCGGGUCUUGUACACACCGCCCGUCACACCACGAGAGUUUGUAACACCCGAAGCCGGUGGAGUAACCUUUUAGGAGCUAGCCGUCGAAGGUGGGACAAAUGAUUGGGGUGAAGUCGUAACAAGGUAGCCGUAUCGGAAGGUGCGGCUGGAUCACC